This 76-nucleotide transfer RNA is filed under the name Bradyrhizobium japonicum. RNAcentral describes it as "tRNA-Thr". The stretch from base 7 to 67 matches the Rfam family "tRNA", at positions 6 to 65 of the family's 71-position model. From Rfam's summary of the family: Transfer RNA (tRNA) molecules are approximately 80 nucleotides in length. Their secondary structure includes four short double-helical elements and three loops (D, anti-codon, and T loops). Lineage: Bacteria; Pseudomonadati; Pseudomonadota; Alphaproteobacteria; Hyphomicrobiales; Nitrobacteraceae. The record is from RNAcentral.
GCACGACGUAGCUCAGCGGUAGAGCAGCUGCUUUGUAAGCGGAUGGUCGCCGGUUCGAGUCCGGCCGCGGGCUCGA